RNAcentral lists this long non-coding RNA (2308 nucleotides) under Helianthus annuus (common sunflower). RNAcentral describes it as "hypothetical non coding rna". The record is from RNAcentral. Lineage: Eukaryota; Viridiplantae; Streptophyta; Magnoliopsida; Asterales; Asteraceae.
UAAACAUUAUAAUUCCACAAGUUGUACUCCUUAUGAGGAACCACUAUAAACGAUUUUGAAAUUACAAAACCAAAAUCAAAACAAGCCACUGGAAUUUAUUGUACAAUCAAGCAUUGAUGGAUACAUAAUUCGUGCCUGAUCAUCUAUUUACUUCAUAUUCUAUAUUUUAGUUAUUCUAUAAAAUAUGUGAACAAUCUAACCGCCACAUUGGAUCUUAGCCUCAUCGACAUCAAGUCUGUUGCUUAUUGCGAGCCACUGACAAUCCUCAAAUGAGCAUUUUUCCUCUUCUAUGGACCACCCGACGUUCUCUGGCUUCAUAUAUUUGGGACCCCAGCUCGGGGUUCCAUCUUCAAAAGAGUUAUGGGUCAAUCUGGUUAACUCUGAACCAUCUAGUUUCAUGGUAAAUAUCUCUCCGUAUGGUUGAUAGUGAUGUGGAUUCGAUAUUGGCUCAGCAGAAACGGCUGCAUAGUCUGACGUGAAAACAAUGCGCUUCCCAUCCGGGCUGAACCAUGGGUGGUUCGUACGUCCGGCUGAGCCACUCUGGAUCAAGUGUCGCAACCCAGUUCCAUUUGGGUGGAUCAUAUACAACCUAAAACUUCCUGAACCUGGGUUGUGACGGUCGGAUGCAAAUGCGAUCCAGUCCCCAUCCGGAGACCAGUUACACAUUGUGUCCGACCAUGGCCCGUUUGUCAAUUGAGUUAGACCACCCUUCUCACCUUCAACAGCAUUCAUGAUAUACAAGUUUUUAUGACCCGUUCGACCCGACCUGAAAACAACCCAUUUCCCAUCAGGUGAAACCGCUGGAAACGCAUUGUUUUGGCCACCAAAGGUGAGUUUUGUAAAACGGGGUUCAUCCGCAUCAGCGUCUAUUGAGAAUAUAUCAACAUCAGUGUCCUCGCUCGCAAAUGUUGGUCCAAUGCUCGUGUAGAUGACACCUUUACGCUUGGGAUCCCAUGCGGUUGAAAACGCAGUAAUAUCUGGAUUCAACACUCGAUUACCUGACCCGUCACUGUUAACCACAUAAAGACCCGGCAAACCAACAUAAGUGAUCCGACUCCCAUCAGGCGAAAAAGAAGGAAAAGACCCGUCAAUCCGAAACAAAGAAAUGUCUGGCACUUGUGUUUUAAUACUCUCAAGAAACAGGUAAUUUUUAAUCAUCUUCCCAUUGCUUCCAGCCCCUCUACAUUUGUGAUACCCGACCCGCGAUGAGUCGGGUGAUAUAAACGGGUUAUAAUGAUUGGCCUUUGGAGCAACUAAUCGGGUCAACUCCUUAAACUUCCCGGAUACGAGGUCGUAUAGCUCUAUAUGACGAUAAUCCGAACCUGGUCUUCUAGUUGCCACUGCAAUAAUAUUUUUCUUUGUUAACGAAGCAGCUGGAGUGAACGAGUGAAGACCCGGUGGGGUGACUCGCCGAGUCACCACCGAGUCCACACUAAAAGACAUAUCUUGAGGCAAAAUCGCCACAUAAACACUCCACCACCCAUCCUCACCUCUCCGGUGAAAAUAAAACGUCGAGUCAUCAACCCAACUCGGCCACCCACCGUGUUCCACCACCUUGACUCGGUCCAACCCGUUCUGAGUCAAGAAAACAUAUAUAUCCGUAUCGAGUUCCUGCAACUCCCCACCCCAACCCUUUUCUCCAGAAGAUGCUACCGCCGUCCACAAACCCGACGGAGACACCGCCGGACUAAAAUCAGCAAUCCCUUCAGGAGUCAACCUCCGAGUCAACCCGGUUGAUAACUGAGUCGAGUAAACCGCAGCCCAACUGGUCCGACCCACACCCGUAUCCUCAUGAGUCGACACGUAUACCAACAAAUCACCCACCAAACUCGGUCUGUCUUUCAUCGAAACCCGUCCGUUUCCACCCACGAGUCGGUGUUGAGAGCGAGUUGACUCAGUCUCAAUAACAGAACGUUUUCUGGUGUGAGGGUAAGAAACAGAAACAGAAACUUCAUCGAGAUAAAUGGAUGAAGUUCCAUUACGUUCAGUGACGUAGAGGAGUUUAACAGACGAUGGGUCAGGGUCAGUGACGGUGUUUAUGUUCGAGUUGACGGAAGAGAGGAAGUGGCCGUUAAAGUUGACGGAGGUACCGUCGGUGAGUUGAAGUUCAUGGCCGGUGGAGUCGAAUGGGAGUGAGAAUAUAUCGAAGGCGUAUCUUGAUCGGCCUAAAGUGGUGAAUAUUAUUGUGGUUGCAGCAGGGGUCGAUGAUAUGGAUUUAGUGAUUAUGAAGAUGGAGAAGAAGAUGAUCAGAUGAAUGGGGGGUUUCAUGAUGAUCGGGGUUAACGGGUAUGUUGCAAAGCAUGCUUGA